This 329-nucleotide RNase P RNA is filed under the name human gut metagenome. RNAcentral's name for it is "Bacterial RNase P class A". It matches the Rfam family "Bacterial RNase P class A". From Rfam's summary of the family: Ribonuclease P (RNase P) is a ubiquitous endoribonuclease, found in archaea, bacteria and eukarya as well as chloroplasts and mitochondria. Its best characterised activity is the generation of mature 5'-ends of tRNAs by cleaving the 5'-leader elements of precursor-tRNAs. The record is from RNAcentral.
AGUGAGCCGGGCAACCGCGCCGUAUACGGUGAGGAAAGUCCGGGCUUCGAAGGGCAAGAUGCCAGUUAACGGCUGGGCGGGGCGACCCGACGGAUAGUGCCACAGAAAAGAAGACUCUUCCUUUGGAAGAAAAGCUGAAACGGUGCGGUAAGAGCGCACCAGCAUGCUGGUAACAGCAUGGCUUGGUAAACCCCAUCUGAAGCAAGCGCAAAUAGGAAUGCAAUACGGCCGCCUUUCCGUGCAUUCGGGUUGCGUGCUAGAGUUUCGCGGUGACGCGAAAUCGAGAUAAAUGGUUGCCGACCACAGAACCCGGCUUACAGGCUCACUCU